GUGCCAGCGCCGCGGUAAUACGAGGGGUGCUAGCGUUGUCCGGAAUCACUGGGCGUAAAGGGCGCGUAGGCGUCUUGGCAAGCCUUGAUUGAAAUCCCCCGGCUCAACCGGGGAACUGGUCAGGGAACUGCCAAGAUAGAGUUUGGUAGGGGAGAGUGGAAUUCCUGGUGUAGCGGUGAUAUGCGUAGAUAUCAGGAGGAACACCGAAAGCGAAGGCAGCUCUCUGGGCCAAUACUGACGCUGAGGCGCGAAAGCGUGGGGAGCAAACAGGAUUAGAUACCCUGGUAGUCCACGCCGUAAACGAUGAGCACUUGGUGUCGGGGGAUUCGACCCCCUCGGUGCCGUAGCUAACGUGUUAAGUGCUCCGCCUGGGGACUACGACCGCAAGGUUGAAACUCAAAGGAAUUGACGGGGGCCCGCACAAGCGGUGGAACAUGUGGUUUAAUUCGAUGCAACGCGAAGAACCUUACCUGGGCUUGACAUGUCAGUGAAAGUCCCG
RNAcentral lists this ribosomal RNA (499 nucleotides) under uncultured Fidelibacterota bacterium. Its description in RNAcentral is "bacterial SSU rRNA". It matches the Rfam family "Bacterial small subunit ribosomal RNA", at positions 505 to 1003 of the family's 1533-position model. Lineage: Bacteria; Pseudomonadati; Fidelibacterota. The record is from RNAcentral.